Molecule: small nucleolar RNA, 107 nt
Organism: Eutrema salsugineum
Lineage: Eukaryota; Viridiplantae; Streptophyta; Magnoliopsida; Brassicales; Brassicaceae
Rfam family: Plant small nucleolar RNA R71
About the family: R71 is a member of the C/D box family of snoRNAs containing the C (UGAUGA) and D (CUGA) box motifs. Multiple nearly identical copies of this snoRNA have been identified in Arabidopsis, and it is thought to function as a 2'-O-ribose methylation guide for 18S ribosomal RNA.
Source: Rfam
AACCCAUGGUGAGAGCACUGGUUGGUAUAGCUUCUGAAUCUCUCCCAGGCUUCACCAAAUGUCUCAUUGUUGUGUUGUGUGAAGGAAGAGAUUUGAUUCCUGAGUUU